GAUGAAGAACGUAGCGAAAUGCGAUAAGUAAUGUGAAUUGCAGAAUUCAGUGAAUCAUCGAAUCUUUGAACGCACAUUGCGCCCGUCAGUAUUCUGGCGGGCAUGCCUGUUCGAGCGUCAUUACGCCCCUCAAGUCCCCUGUGGACUUGGUGUUGGGGAUCGGCGAGGCUGGUUUUCCAGCACAGCCGUCCCUUAAAUUAAUUGGCGGUCUCGCCGUGGCCCUCCUCUGCGCAGUAGUAAAACACUCGCAACAGGAGCCCGGCGCGGUCCACUGCCGUAAAACCCCCCAACUUUUUACAGUUGACCUCGAAUCAGGUAGGACUACCCGCUGAACUUAAGCAUAUCAAUAAGCGGAGGA
RNAcentral lists this unclassified non-coding RNA (358 nucleotides) under soil metagenome. RNAcentral describes it as "partial contains 5.8S ribosomal RNA, internal transcribed spacer 2, and large subunit ribosomal RNA". The stretch from base 1 to 120 matches the Rfam family "5.8S ribosomal RNA", at positions 35 to 154 of the family's 154-position model. The record is from RNAcentral.